GUGCUUGCUUCAGCAGCGCAUAUACUAAAAUUGGAAUGAUACAGAGAAGAUUAACAUGGCCCCUGCACAAGGAUGACAUGCAAAUUCGUGAAGCGUUCCAUAUGUUU
This 107-nucleotide small nuclear RNA is filed under the name Physeter macrocephalus (sperm whale). Lineage: Eukaryota; Metazoa; Chordata; Mammalia; Artiodactyla; Physeteridae. The record is from RNAcentral.